AGAGAGAGAGAGAGAGGAAGAGGCCAAGGCCUAUCCGCAAUGAACUGGUGGAAUUAGAUUUAGUCUCGAGAUGCGAUUUGCUGCCGGAUGAAACACGCCGCAGAUGAAACGAAAGGCAUGAGAAAGACAAUUUCGGGAGAACGCAGUGAGGUUAAGCGAUGAGACCACGACCAGGACCAUGGGGAGCCUGCGCCAGGAGGUGACAACACAUGGAAGCGGCUAUGGAGACCUCAAUCAAGAGCUGUCGGUCAGGCUGAGGCGAUUCCUUGAGCAGAUGAUCGUGGAGGCUAGGGCAAAUAGAUCACGAUUCUGAUUUAGUUUUGGAAGAGGUCGUGGAGAAGUUACGGUGGAAGGAUAUGAAACCUUUUUUUAGUACAACUGAGAUUGGAUUUUUUUACUUUUUUUUUGUGGAAGGACGUGAAGCUUUUAGGUACAAUUGAGAUUGCACUUUUUUCUUUACUUUUUACAACCGAGAAAG
This 478-nucleotide long non-coding RNA is filed under the name Hordeum vulgare. RNAcentral's name for it is "long non-coding RNA (HVUL_LNC014809)". The record is from RNAcentral. Lineage: Eukaryota; Viridiplantae; Streptophyta; Magnoliopsida; Poales; Poaceae.